AACAUUACGUUUCCAGAUAUCAGAUACCUAAUCACGAACUGUCACAUCCAAAAUAGCAAAACCAGAAACAGAGAACCAAAGAUACCACAACCAGAAACCAUAAGCAGAACCAGAACCAGAGAACAGUCACAAUCUCAAAUCCUAAUCUAAUUACCAACCACCACCACCUCCGCCGCUUCCUCCAUAACCACCACCUUCACCACCUCCGUAUCCACCACCCUCGCGUCUGCCACCACCGUAGCUUCCGCCGCCACCACCUCCUCUUGAGGAGUAUCCACCUCCACCACCAGAGUAACCACCCUCGCGUCUUCCGCCGCCACCUCCGUAUCCACCGCCACCACCUCCGUAGCCACCGCCGCCGCUGCGGUAUCCACCGCCACCACCACCACGGCCGCCUCCGCCACCGCUUCCACGUGACUGAGCCUCGUUCACAGUGAUGCUGCGACCAUCGAGCUCCUGUCCGUUCAUUCCCUCAAUGGCGUCUUUCAUGGAUUUCUCAUCCUUGAAAGUGACGAAUCCGAAUCCCCUCGAUCUUCCAGUCUCACGAUCGUUAAUGAUCUGGAAACAUAAAAACGAAACAGAUCAGCCAAAUAAUCCAACACAGACGGACACACAAAUCGAGCCAAAAAAUUUCAAAAAGAAAACGAUCGAUCUCCGGGCUCAUAAAAGCAGGAAGAUGAACGUACCGAUUGGGAAAAACAAGUAACAGAGUAACAAAGAACGAGAGAGAGAGCAUGCAUAGUAACAGUAAUUCGAAUCAAGUAACAGAGAAACACAGAUCGGAACAGAUCCGUCGAGGAUCAGAAUCAUCGGAAUCCCGGAGAGUCCGAUCUCUGCGUGUAACGGACCUUGGAAUCAAUAACGUCGCCGUACUGAGAGAAGGCAGUCUCGAGAGCUCUGUCAUCAGUGGCCCAAGCUAGGCCUCCAACGAAGCACCGGAACUCGACAUCUGCGGACGCCAUUGAAUGAGAGAAAUGAUAGAGAAGAUCUAAAAAAAGAGAAGUGGAGAGAUCUGAGUGAUGAGUGAGGGAGACGAAGAAUCUCUUUAUAAUGGGGCUGAGAUAUUUAACCAAGGUUAGAUAUUUUCUAGGGUUAGAGUCGGUUUUUAAUGAAAUUUGGUUUAACUAUGGUUAAGCGUGUGGUUUAAAAUGGUGGUGGUUGGAGACACCUCACGUGACACUUUUUUGGAUUAAUGCGCAAAUGGAAAGACGAUGCAGGAAAAGAUAUUUUUUCUUUCCGCUUGUUCCAAGAAAAAUAUCUAGUCAGGUAGAAAUAUCUGCUAAAUGAAAUGACAAGUUUACCCCGUAAGUCUCAUCUCGUAUUCAGAUCACUGAGCCGACUGACACUGGGCCGGAAAUUUAUUUUUGGACAUAAGAGAAAAACCUAAUUGGGUCAGAAUCUUAGCCCAGAAUUAAUAUUAGGCCGAAAAUAAACUCAAAAUAUAUAUAUUUGAAAAAAACAAUUGUUGACAGUGGGUUUGAACCCACGCCCUUUCGGACAGGAACCUUAAUCCUGCGCCUUAGACCAACUCGGCCAUAUCAACUUUGAUGUUUUGUUAUAGUAAAUCUUCUUUUUUUUUUAAUUUCCCCUUAUUGUUGAACCUGAGACAUUAUUCCCCUUUAAUUCUUCUGAAGAAUCUGAAGAAUCAAAACUCGAAAGUCUUUCCCAAACCAAGCUUCUGAAAGUUCAUUCCCUUAAUGUGAUAUAUGUCUUCUUGGGUACAAUAAUCAAAAGGAACACUUUGAUUUUAAUAUCAAACGAAAAUAGAGCAUGCUAUGAUUAAGAAGCAAGUCUUCAGAGGUGCAUGCAUUGACCCAAAAUUUAGAUUUGAAUCCCAUUAUUAUUUUCAAUCUAGUAAAACUAACUUCUGAAUUUGUUUGGCUCAUGCAAAAAUCUAUCAUAUUUCUAAUAUUCACAUGGAAGACUAGGGUUUUAACUAUUAAGUAUCGAUUAUCUUCUAAAUUAUCAGUCUCGAAUUAAUAAAAUUCCUCUUCAUUCCUUAAAAAUAUAUCAUUUAUAUGGAAUUUAUUUAUAUACAUUCCUUUUGUUCCUCAUAAAAUACACUAUUUAUAAAAAAAAAAUUUUUUACACACUAUUCCUUAUCAUUUUUUUAUUUUUAGGAAAUUAUAGAACAAAAAUAUUCAUAACCAAAUUUAACAAAAAACAAUAAGAUAUUAUGUAUCUUCAUUCCCUUCCUAUUCAUUCCUAUUAUGUUUUUAUAAUUGCCAAUUAAAGUCUAAAGUAUUAACUAUUUAAGUAUCGAUUAUCUUCUAAACUACCAGUCCGAACUAUAAAAUUAUUUCACUCAUAGAGACAUGUUUGAAACAAUUUAUAUAUUACACUAUUGUACUUACAUAAACAUGGAUCUACAUGUUUGAUUCUCUUAUUAAAAAAACAUGGUAUUUCUCCCUCAGAUUGGAGUUUUGUCGGGAUAAUGUCAUCUUCUUUAGGUGGUUUGCCUUCUUUAACAUGUAAAUCGCCGCUUCUUUCUCUGCUUCUGUUCCUUGGUACCCAAUCCACUCAACUGUUUCGAGACCCGACACAAAACAUUCAGGAACACAACACGGUUGCUCCCACUGAGCUUCGAAAUCUCUGAACAUGCCGCAGUUUAACUGAACAUACCAACAAAAAAAAACGGCAUGUGACCUUUACAUGUUGGAAUCGGUAAUUGUUUAUAAAGAAGUUGGAAUUACCGGCCUAAAGAUUUGUUACAAGGGAUAAUCAAGAUCGUUAUUCGUUACAGUUCUUAUAAAUAGCUGUGUUCAAAUUGUAAUGUCACACGGCUUGCUUUCUCUAUCACAGGCCAGGAGUCAAGACUUUGGAUUGUAAUAGACGUACCUGACUUGUAUAUUGAGAAGAUUGUACUACAUUGAUAAUAAUUUGGUAUAUAUAGACUAUCCCCAUGAAGAUGGUCGAGCAAAACGAAUUGGCUUACUUUAACUGGUUGUUAUGAUCUCAUGGAUAGCCAUUACAAAGACCAAGAAGCUUUAGACAAUUAUUCUACAAAACGUUUUAUUUAUAUCGAAGUCCUCUUCUCAAACUGUUUAAAAAGCCUGGGGAACGGGCAAGACACUUCAGAAGUACAGGGUCCUGCCUGGAGGAGCCUCUUCCACAGUCAAGAAUCGAGAACCACGAUUAUUUCUGUGAGACUCUUCCACAUGGAUGUAUUUACCAUCAAUCUCAAUGCCUUCCAUCAUCAAAACAGCAUAUCUCAUCGAUUCCUCCUCUUUAAAAGUAACAAAACCAUGUCGUAUCGAUUUUCCUGUCCCAGGACGGCAAAUGAUCUACGAAUACAUAGAAAAUCAUGAAAAAACAAUCAAAGCCGACACUUAAUCGUGAAUUGUCAGAUAUCAAAAUGAUUAAUAUACAGAAACAACAACAAAAAAAAAGUAAACAAAUAUACAGUAACCAAAUCCUAAUUAAAGUAGACCUCGCAAUCUGUAACAUCGCCAAACAUGCAAAAUGCUCUUGCAAGACGAGUUGCAUCAGUAUCGCGGUUCAGAUUAUGAACAAAGCAAACAAACCCUUUCGGACCGUGUAAUGGCAUCUCUCAUCGAUUUCUCGUCCUCAAAAGUAACAAAACCAAAUCUUCUCGAUGUUCCAUUCAUAAACGUGAUCUUUUGGAAACAAAUUAAGAUAAACGGUACAGAUCAGUAAAAAGAGUAUCUGACAAAAUGUUCAUGCACAAACGUAAAAUAAUAACUAAAUGUUCAAGGCGUGACUGACUUCAGAUUUGAUAACGUUGCCAAACUUUGAAAAGACUCUCUUCAGAUCAUUUGCAUCCGUUUCUCUGUCCACCGAGAACUAAGCACCUGAACUCAGAAUCUGCUGAAGCCAUUUGAAAAAAAAAAAACGACUAAUCAGGGUUUCUAUGUAGAAUAAGGAGAAACUUGUAAAAAAAUGUUGUGAGAAGUUGAAUUCAAUUUAUAGAAAAGGGGAGAGGAUUAGGGUUUUGGAUUUUUUUUUAAUAUGUUAAUUACGAUUUAAUCUUUAAAUUUGACCCCAAAAAAAAUGAAUUACAGUUACGGUGAGUUUUAUGAUAGAGGAGAGGAAACUGUUUAGCAAAUCGUGGAAUCGUGGAUUUUGAUGAGAUAAUAUAGGAUUUUUAAAAUGAUAGUUUUUGGUUUUUAACGUUUAAAUUAUUUUUUUACUCAACCACAUGUCACCAUGUCAUUGGUGAAGUGACUCGUGAUUAUGUAUAAUAAAGAUAUUAGAUUUUAACCCCGUGCGUCCGCACGAGAAUGUUUGAUUUUUUAUUUCUAAUAUAAGUUGCAUUUAUCAUUUUUGUUUAGAUAUAAUUUAUUUUUGUUAUUUAUUUUUUUUAAUCAAAAAAUUGUUAUUAUAUUUUAAUUUUAAACAGUAAAAUUUGUAUAUUAGUAGAAUAAGAGUAUAUGUUAAUUAAGUAUACAUUGAUCUAAUGUUAAUUAUAAACUUUGUUAUUAUGUAAAUUUAGAUUUACACAUAAACAAUCUAUAUAUCUAUGAAUUUGUUAAUCCAUCCGUUUAGUUGUCUUAAAUCAUUUUUAAUAACUUACAUGUUUUGACAAACUAACCCGUAUAAGACUAUAAUUAUAAUUGUAUAACCCUAUAAAUAUUUACUAAUAUGGAAUAUUUGGACCAAUUGAUUAUGAAAAUAUAUAAAAAGAUAUUUAUUUACUAUUUGUGCUAUUAAAAAAAAAAAAUAUAUAUAUUAACCUGUUAGUUUAAUUGUCUCAAAUCAUCUUAAUAUCUUACAUGUUUUAAUAAAUUAACUCAUGAACCUUAAAUAUAUAUAUAUAUAUAUAUAUAACUCUAAUAAGCUCGAUCAUAUUAUUGUAUAAUAGAAAUAUUUAUUAAUCUCAAAUAUUUAAUAUUUUAGAUUGAUUGUUUAUGAUAAAAUACGAUAAAAUAUUUAUUUACUAUGCAUUUUUAUAAAAAUAUUAUUUAAAUUUAAAUUUUAAAAUUAAAUCUUUUCUGUUUUUAAGAAAUUAUAAAGUACUAAAAUUACUAUCUAAAUUUUGUAAUAAAAUUUAAUUAUAUUUUUUUGAAUUUUUUGAAUUUAAAUUAAAUUGAACGCAAAUUUUUGUAACUAAAUUUAAUUAAAUUGAAAUUUAAAUUAAAGAUGACCUAGAUUUUAGAAAAUCUAAAAAUAUCUAAACUAAUAACUAAUUUUCGGAAAUUAAAUAUAAAAAUAAAAUAAAAUAUUAUAAAAAAAACUUUGGAAGUGUUUGGAUGCAAGUACUAAAUGUGCUUCUGUUUUAAUAGAAUAGAUAGAUGCAUGGACAAUCUUUUUUCUUAAAGCUCUCUAUGUGUUAUACAUAAUUUCCUUGGUAUCUCAGAUGAUCAAGAUCUAACAAUUCGUACUACGAUAGAAGAAAAUGAUCCCAUAUCUCUUAGCCGUUUCAUUUUUAUUGUGCGUGAUAUCCCCACUCUUUACAGUAUCAAAUUAACAAAAAGUUACUAUAAAAGACUAGUUUGCAACUUGUACCGUACAAGUUGUACGUCACGUUUAGAGACGUUUGACUCAAUUUCAUAGCUUUCUCGAUUGCUGUGAACUUCUUAAUGUUAACUUGUGAACCAGAAUCAGGUUAUUGAACCUAAACCAAGAUUUAUAUGAACCCGUAAUUGUUAAUAUAGAAGUUGGAAUCGGUCUAAAGUUUUGUUACAGGGAAUAAUUAAUGAAGAGAUCGUUAUUCGUUAACAAUUCUUAUAAUUAAAUAGCGUUGUCACAUCACAUAAAUAAUCUUCUAAUAAAUAAUUAAUACUUGAUUCAAAGCACCACGUCCCAAACAAUCACAUAGUGAUAUAUUAUAAAGGGGAGCCUAGAAGCUUAUUAUAUAAUUCUAUUAUAUAUAUAUAUCUUAUGAAACAUUGUCAAAUAUAUAUAUAUAUAUCUUAUGAAACUUGGGUUCAUGCCUUCUUCUUCUUUGGACCAACACCGUGACGACGACAACUUUUGCGAGACGAGUAAGCCUGUUCCACAGUUAUGGUUGUGUAUGGCGGGGCGAGCUUAUGAGUACCGUUCAUUCCGUUAAUAGCAUCCCUCAUGGAUUUCUCGUCUUUGAAAGUAACAAAUCCAUAUGCCAUUGAAUGAUCUUCAUCAUACUCAGAUGGAUAAACGACCUAUGAAACAAUGACUAACAUAAUUCAGAAUAAUUGUUAUAAAAAAAAAAAUCAAUACGUCGCCUAACUGGAUUUAUUAAUGAAAAAAAAAUGAAAAAACCAACAUAAGUUCCUAUAACGUCGCCAAACCGAGAAAACGCAUUCUUGCGAACAUAGCACUUGUAUUCAACAUCUUCGGACGCCAUUUUUGAAAGAUGCAGAUUGAUGAGGACAAUUUAUAUAAAAGAUUAUUUAUGUGGUUAUAAAUGCUAUCGAAUCUAAAAACUUUUAGAAACAAGCGUCUUUUUUCUUUCUUUGAAACUAGUUUUCCCUAGUUCCCAAACUUUCUAGAUAUUUUAUCUAAAUCUCAGUGUUUUUUUUUUUUCUGGUACAACUAAAAUGUGAAAACCAUUACUAGUAAAUUGAUUUUAUUGGAAAGUAGGAGUAUAUGUUUCCAAUAAAAGUCAAUUUGUUUUCUUGCUUAAGCUGUUAGUUUCAGUUUAUACUCCCUCCAUUUCACAAAGAGUGUCAUUUUGACACUUUAUGUUUGUUUCAAAAAGAAUGUCGUUUUAGAAUUUCAAUGUAAUUUUUAACAUAAAAUAUCAUUUUUAACCUCAAUAAAUUCAGAAAAUUAAUUAUAAAUAUGAUUCCAAAAGUCAUUUUCUACAAAUUAAUAAGGGUAUAAAAGACUUUUUAUCUUAUUUCUUAAUUUGUGUGAAGAUUGUCAGAACGACACUCUUUGUGAAACGGAGGGAGUACUAUUUUUUACCUACCACAACAAUUCAAUAAUAUCACUCAAAAUUUCUCAGUGAUUUGCUUAUGAAAUGCACUAUUGAAUGAUGAUGAAUACAAAAUUCUAACGAAACUCUUGUUGAAAUGCAUCUUUACAUUAUAAAGGUGCACUAAGCUACUAACGAAACUCUUGUCUCACUAUUGCUACUUUUUUCUGUUAAUUUGCAUUUGGAUAUAUAAUUCCUCUGGACAUCUGCAAGUGAGCACAGUUAGAUAAACACAAAACGCUAAUGUGCUUCUACUAUAUUUAAAUCUUGGUUUAGAGAUGAGUAGUUACUCUGGGAGCGAAACAAACCGGUUUAGUUAUAACCUGCGGUUGUCAUUAGGCUUGAAUUUUUCAGGAAUUGGGACGGGAAUUGACAGGUAAAGGAUGGGAAUUGAAAUUUUGGGAAUCUGAAUAUAUUACCCAAAAUAUUCCCACAAAAUAACGAGAGGGAAAUUUACGGGUAUGGGAUGGAAACGGGAAAUUCGAAAAUCAAAACACACUAUCCAUACAAUCCCAAAAUAAAAUAUAAUCAGGAAAAGGACGGGAAAGGAACAGGAAAGGGACGGGAAAAAUUUCGGAUAAUUCGGAUAAUUAAACUAAAAUCAAUUUUGUUUUUUUUUUUUAAAUUAUUAUUUGUUAAUAAAUUGGAAAAAUCAUUAUUUAUUAUAAAAAAAAUUUCAGUUAACCAAAAUCUCUAAAAUUUCACUUUAUAUAAUUACCCAACGGGAAGUUCGGGUAAUCCCAUUCCCGUCCCUACCCUUUUCCUUACCCAUUCAAAUAUUAUUUUCAAACCCAAAUGGGAAAUUACAAUUUCCCUUUUUCGAAAAGUUUGGGAAUUUCGGGACGGAUACGUUUCGGGACGGGUUACCCUUCCCGAAAAAUUCAGGCUUAGUUGUGACCUUGUGCGUAAUAUAGAUACUCACUUUUUACAGUAUCAAAUUAACAAAAAUUAUACUAAAAGCCUAGUUUGCAACUAAUAUCGACUUUGGCUCAAGAACAGGAUUUAAUAAAACUCUCUUUUAUUAAAUUUUAGGAAACUCUCUCAAAACCUAAAGAUCCAAAACACAAAACUCAUAAGUUAUUAACGACGACCCUACGACUGCGGAAAAUCAGUCGCCAAAAUGUCGCUAAAUAGUGAUUGCGAAUGUCGUCACUUCUUAGUCGCUAUCUAACGACGGAUUAGCGACUAAUAUGUAGUCACGAUUAAUCAGUCGCUAAAACGUCGAUAAAGUUGCAACUAAUUUGCGACAUAUGCGGCGAGUCGGUAUUAUUUAACACGUGUAAUACGUUUUAGGGUGGUUGUACCGGUUUUUCGCGACGAACCGUUGGCAGUCGCAAUAUAGUGACAAAACAGUCGCAUAUUAGUCGCAAAAUUUUCUAUAUAUUGAGAUCCCAUCUACGUUCCACUUCAUUAGUAUGCUUGCUAUCAUUUUGGUAGUUACUUUAUAAAAUUCCUUUAGCUGUAAGAAAUAUUUCUUACAAAAAAGGUGAAAAAAGAGUUAAGAAAAAAAAAACUCUUAUAAUAGAAAGAGAGUUAUAAUUUUAAUUAUAAUAAUUUUAGAGCUUGGAUGUAUAACCGAAUCGAUGAAAAGACGGGUAAUUUUUCGAAUGCGUUUAUAGAAGGAGUGGAGCAAUUCAUGAAUUUUGCAAAUAAUCAGACUAUAACACAAAGCAAUUGUGGUAAAUUUUUCUGCCCUUGUAGUGUAUGCAAUAAAACAAGUUUUUGUUGGGGAGUAAGAUUUGGAAUCAUCUAUACAGUAAAGGGUUCAUGCCAGAUUAUUAUGUUUGGUAUAAGCAUAGGGAAGAAAUAACUAUGGAUUAUGGAACUAGUUAUAAUAACAGUCAUCUAAGUGGGAGUGAAGAAAAAAUGGAUAAUAUAGCUGAAGAUAGAUAUGUGGAUAUGGUGAAUGAUGCAUUUUGUGAUAAUUUUCGUCAAGAUGAUAGCUAUUGUCUAGAUGAGAGUAAUGAAAAUGUAGAAGAACCUGUACGUAAUCAUCCCAAAAAUUUUUACGACUUGUUAGAAGCUGGGAAAAAACCAUUAUACGAUGGUUGUCAUGAAGGGCAUUCACAGUUAUCUUUAGCUGCUCGGUUCAUGCAAAAUAAGAUAGAUUAUAAUAUGAGUGAAAAAUGUAUGGAUUCAUGGGCCGCAUUGUUUACUGAGUAUUUACCAGAUGGAAAUCAAGCAACCAGUUCUCAUUACGAGACAGAGAAAUUGAUGGGAAACCUAGGCCUUCCUUUUCAUAAAAUUGAUGUUUGUAUCAACAAUUGUAUGAUCUUCUGGAAAGAGGACGAACAUUGGGAGAACUGUAAAUUUUGUCAAGCACCAAGAUAUAAGCAAGUCAAGGAAGGACGGCGAUCAAGAACCAGAAUACCAUAUAGUCGUAUGUGGUAUCUACCUAUAGCUGAUAGAUUAAAGAGAAUGUAUCAGAGCGAGAAGACAGCAGCGGCUAUGAGAUGGCAUGCUGAACACCAAGCCAAGGAUGGAGAAAUGUCACAUCCCUCUGAUGCUGCUGAGUGGAAAUAUUUUCAAGAUCUACAUCCUCAGUUUGCUGAAGAACCCCGAAAUGUUUAUCUUGGAUUAUGUACAGAUGGGUUUAAUCCAUUUGGCAUGUCUCGUAAUCAUUCUUUAUGGCCUGUGAUUUUGACCCCAUAUAAUUUACCUCCUGGUAUGUGCAUGAGGACAGAGUAUUUGUUCCUGACGAUAUUGAAUUCAGGGCCAAAUCAUCCACGAGCCAGUCUUGAUAUAUUCCUCCGACCUCUUAUUGAUGAGUUAAAAGAUCUAUGGUCUACUGGAGUGAAUGCAUAUGAUGUGUCCCUGAAACAAAACUUUAAUUUAAAAGCUGUGCUGCUGUGGACGAUAAGUGACUUUCCAGCAUACGGUAUGUUAUCAGGAUGGACUACUCAUGGUAAAUUGUCUUGUCCAAUUUGCAUGGAAGAUACAAAGGCUUUUUAUCUCCCUAAUGGAAGGAAGACAUGUUGGUUUGAUUGUCACAGAAGGUUUCUUCCACAAGAUCAUCCAUUAAGAAAAAAUAAAAAAGACUUUUUGAAGGGUAAAGGCAUGAGUGACUACCCACCAGAGUCUUUGACUGCUGAGCAAAUAUAUUCUGAGCGGAUAGAAUCUGUGAAUCCUGGUAGAACAUUUGAGUGCGGUGGAAAUGGUCAUGAAAAAAAGAAGGCUGGAUAUGGUAAGUGGCACAACUGGCACAAAGAAAGUAGUUUCUGGGAGUUGUCGUACUGGAGGGACCUUAAUCUCCGGCAUAAUCUUGAUGUGAUGCAUAUAGAAUAAGGCUAAAACGUGGCCCAUCUACUUCACUAGGGGAUACUUGUUUCAUACGCAGAAGCAUGGUGUGGACCGAAAAACCUGUAACUAUGGGAUAUGUGUGAAAGGAGAAAAUUAUACGGAUACAUCUGAUGAAGCCGAUUUCUAUGGAAUCUUAACUGAUAUCAUACAACUCGAGUACGAGGGAAUGGUAAAUUUGAAAAUCACACUUUUUAAAUGUAAUUGGUAUGACCCUGUUAUUGAUAGAGGCACACGAAGAAACAAUGGUGGCGUCACUGACGCUAAUUCAUCAAGAAGAUACAAUAAGUACGAACCAUUUAUCCUAGGUAUGUUGAUAUAUAUAUAUAUAUAUAUAUAUAUAUACUUAAAAUAUAUAUGUUUUUUUGUUGAAAGAAUCUUUUUAUUUUGCUGAUCUUCCACAGCUUCUCAAGCUGACCAAGUUUGUUAUAUUCCCUAUCCAUACCGAAAGAAACCGAAGCAAUUGUGGUUGAACGUGGUAAAAGUAAAUCCAAGAGGAAACAUUAAUGGAGAUUAUGAAGAGAAAGAACCAACUCUUUUACAACAAGUAAAUGAUGAUGAUAUAAUGCUGACUACAAUUGAGGAUCUUGUGGUCGAUAAUCGAGUACUCGGAGUAAACUCCAUAAAUCUUGAUUUUGAUGUUGAAGAUGCAGAACCAGCUGAUGAAUUUCAGUGUAACUUAUCAUCCUCAGAUGAUGAUGAAGAUGAAGAUGAACCUUACUAAUUAUUUUGUUUAAACUAGUUGAUAAUAUGAUGAAGAUUAAGAUGAACAUUACCAAUUUCAUUUUUUUAAAAAUUGUUUAAAUCAUUUGAUAUUAGUUGAUAUUAUCAAUUUAACUAAAUCAAAAUUAAACCAGAUUAAGAUUAAUCUUAAAACCAAAUUAAACCAUAAAACUAAACCAUAUCAAACCAGAUUAAAAUUUAGUUAACCCAUAAAACCUAAUUAAACCAUACUUAACCAAAAUUAACUCACUAACCCUAAAUUAACCCGAAGCCCACUAACUAAAUCCUAAGCCCACUAACUAAAAUUAACCCACUAACCCUAAAUUAACCCGAAGCCCACUAACUAAAUCCUAAGGCCACUAACACUUAACAAAAUUUCUUCUUCCCUCUAGUCGAUCUAAACGACUAAACCCUAAUUCCUCUUUCUCUUCUCUCGAUCAUUCCGCCUCUUCUCUCACACCGAUUCUCUCUUCUCAACCUGUUUUUCGAUUCUAAGUUCUAACCCACACCGAUUCUCUCUUAUCUUCACUCUUUCUCUCUUCUCCACCGAUCCGAAACCCACAAACCGAUGGUUACUCGUCGUUCGAAGAAAGGAAGAGGAGGUGGAAAGGCAUCGACUGCAAAGACGCCUCUCCCAAGUCGAUACGCCUUCACUCUGUCGCCGUCUAACCAGUCUCCACCACCGCUUCAACCGGAGAGGGCACCGUCGAUCUCGGUGAGAGAUUAUCCACCACCGACGCAUCUGUUCCAGAACCGCAGCCAACAUCAAAACUCUUCUCCGCCGCUUAAUGCUCCGUCGACUCAACCGCCUCAACCCCGAAGCUCCCAUAACUCCGAACACCGACCAGCCGCAAUCUCUGAAGAAGAAACAUCUCCGCAUGCUGAAGGGACUUACUCGCACUCCCAUGAAGGCCACAACGACAGUGAAGAAGCUCUAUUCAGCCCCGAUCUCGCUCCUGACCAUCAGAGAAUCCUGAACGCUUUGCUUACACAACCAGGAAGGGAAGCUUUCACCACAGUCCUAUCUCCUUUACCGAAGCCUAAUACAACAUGGUAAUGCUUUCAUUUUCAGCUUGUAUUGCUUAGUUUAGUUGUUUACGUUUGAACUUGAUUGGGUGUGGAACUCGGAUUAGGUUUCAAUAUGGUAUGCGACUUCAUUGCUUAGUUUACAAAUUUAGGUUUGGAACUUGAUUUUAGGUGUUGUAUGCGAAUUCGUUGCUUAGAUUAGGUAACAAUUAUGUAUGUUUUGAUAACUGGUAACUUGUUUGUAUCUGAAUUUGUAGGUUUGGUCGGGACAAAUCUAAACUUACCCGAAAGAUCACCAAGAUCUUUACAAACAAGUUCGACGGUCCCUUUUACAGCUGGACCUGUGUGCCUCGAGAGAGACAAGAACGGUACUUCAUUGAAUUUGCGGUAAGUAUUUCAUUCUUAUUCUCAUUUGUUUCUUUGAUGAUUUUCAGUCAUUUUAGGCAUUUGAAGCAAUUGUUUGUUUGAGUCGUUUGAGUUAUUUAUAGCAAUUUUUUGUUUGCUUCAUUUGAAGUUAUUGAGGCAUUUCAUUCUUUGAGUUAGUUGAGGCAUUAGAUUAGAUGUUUCUUAGUUUAGGCUCGCUUAAAAGAUCUUCUACUCAUUUGAUUCAUUUGAGGCAUUUGAGGCAUUUGUGGCAUAAGACUUCAUCGUUUCUUCUCCUUUGAUUAAUUUGACUUGUUUUUUUCACUUGCUAAUACCAUUUUCUAUGUUUCUAAUGUAGAAAACACACACUUGGGAUCCAUUAGUAACCGGUGUUGUCCAAGAAAAGUUUGAGAGCAUUUGUCUCAAUCGGAUGAAGGAUAUGGUGAGCAAGGCAAGGACUACUCGGGAGCAGCCCAACUGGAUUGGCGACACUCUCUGGAAACAAAUGAAUGAAUACUGGAACACUGAAGAAGCCAAGGAAAAGAGUGCCACUACAUCAGCUGCAAGGAUGUCUGAACGUGAUGGUCUUGGACCUCAUGUCCACUUCUCAGGCCAGAAGUCGUACAUACAAAUCCAACAAGAGAUGGUUAGUUCUCUUCCCUUUUCAUUCAUCACUUAUGUCUAUACAUCUUUAAACUCUUUUGUUUGACUUUUUUUUUCAUUGCAGGAAGAAGAACUUGGAAGGCCGGUGAGUCUUGGUGAAGUUUUCAUCAAGACUCAUACAAAAUCGGAUGGCACUUUUGUAGACCGAAAGUCCAAGACGGUGGCUGAAGCGUAUAAGAAGAAACUGGAAGAAAAGAUGGCUGAUCUUGGGGUAGACUCCGAGACUUCAGAUGGUACAUCACCGCCUGUGGUGCUGUCCGUAGAAGAGGAAAAUGAACUCUUUCUUCAGGUAAAUACUUUUUUUACAUUGUCUUUUAUGAUAUGCUUUUAUUCUUUGGAUUUUGACAGUUCUGUUAUUCUAAUACUGUUUUGCAGGCGACUUUCACAAAUGAAAGAGGCAUUCCUUAUGGAAUUGGAAGCCUCUCACAAACGACUGGAAAAAGGAAGUACCCAGGAACCUCGGCAACAUACAAGGGUCUCGAGGAGCAGCUUCAAGAAGCUCAACGCCUAAUAGAAGAACAAGCAGAUCAGAACUCAAGGCGUGAGGCAGAGCUUCUCAAAGUUUCUGCUGAGCAACAAGCCAGAAUCGACAAGUUAGCUCUGGUGGAAAGGUACUUGACUCAAACUGAUCCAGGGUUCUUAGAUUUUGUGGCUGCAAAUAAAGUUUCAAGUAAUCCAAUGCCUUCACCUAAUCACUCUACAACUCCCUAGGUUCUGGUUGGCCUCUGUUUUUCUUUGCUCCUUUAUUCUCUUUAAGAACUUAUCACAAUGAUAUGCUAUGUAUUAUUUGGGUAUUUUGAUCACAAUGUUUUGGAACAAUGUCUAUUUUGGUAUUUUGGAACAAUGCCUAUGUUUAAUGUAAUAUAUAUUUGCUUUUACAAGUUCUUCUAAUUAUUUGAUUUCGAGUUUAGCUUUUUGGUGUAAUGAACAAAUUUGAUCAAAUGAAAAUAGGAAAUAUAAUGGAUUACCAAACCUGAAUCCGUUUGAUCUAUGUAGUCGCAAAUUCGUCACAACUUCGUCGUAAAGUAGUCACGACUUCGUCGGAAAUCAGUCGCUAAACCAUAACAAAACAUCACGUUUUUGGUGAUAUCAGUCUUCAAACAGUCGCUAAAGUGAAAGCAAAGUAGUCGUGAUUCAGUCGUUAUAUACUGCGACUAUUUCGCGACUGAAUUUUCACGACCACUAAGCAGUCGCAAAAUGGUCACAAAGUUCGCAACUAAUUAGCGACUGAAUUUACACGACGUUCCGACGACCGAAUCAAAAGUCGCUAAUUAGUCACAACUGCAGUCACUUAUUAGUCGUUAAAUUAACUACUAAGUGCCGACUAUUUAACGACUGAAUGACGUAGUCGUUAAGUAGUCGCGAAUUAGUCAUUAGUUUGCGACUGAUUAGCGACUCUUUAUUUUAGCGACGUUAAAUUAACGACUAAUUUGUUUAGUCGCUACUCAGUCGCAAAACCACUUAUAGCGACUGAUUUGCGAUUGAUUUGUUCGUCGCUGAAAACCUGUUUUCUUGUAGUGAGGAUUUAAUAAAACUCUCUUUUAUUAAAUUUUAGGAAACUCUCUCAAAACCUAAAGAUCCAAAACACAAAACUCAUAAGUUAUGCCACACAUUGGCAUCUCCUUAUAUAGAUGUUUAGCUACUCCUAAACUUAAUGGAAUUAGAUAACUCCUAAUUUCCUUUUUCCUAACCUUAACACUUUUAGGAAACAUUACUUAAAGAUAAUCUAGAACAAUCUAGAAGCUUGCUCUUCAAGCUUUUCUCAAGCUUACUCCAACAAUCUCCCUCUUAAGCUUGAAGUCUUCUUUGAUCAUCUCUUUAACUCCAAUGAAGUUUCUCAUUUCUUUAAACUUGAUCCUUCCAAGUGCUUUAGUCAGAAUAUCAGCUUUCCUGUGGUUGUGAUCUUGUGCGUGAUAUCCCCACUCUUUACAGUAUCAAAUUAACAAAAGUUACUAUAAAAGACUAGUUUGCAACUUGUACCGUACAAGUUGUACGUCACGUUUAGAGACGUUUGACUCAAUUUCAUAGCUUUCUCGAUUGCUGUGAACUUCUUAAUGUUAACUUGUGAACCAGAAUCAGGUUAUUGAACCUAAACCAAGAUUUAUAUGAACCCGUAAUUGUUAAUAUAGAAGUUGGAAUCGGUCUAAAGUUUUGUUACAGGGAAUAAUUAAUGAAGAGAUCGUUAUUCGUUAACAAUUCUUAUAAUUAAAUAGCGUUGUCACAUCACAUAAAUAAUCUUCUAAUAAAUAAUUAAUACUUGAUUCAAAGCACCACGUCCCAAACAAUCACAUAGUGAUAUAUUAUAAAGGGGAGCCUAGAAGCUUAUUAUAUAAUUCUAUUAUAUAUAUAUAUCUUAUGAAACAUUGUCAAAUAUAUAUAUAUAUAUCUUAUGAAACUUGGGUUCAUGCCUUCUUCUUCUUUGGACCAACACCGUGACGACGACAACUUUUGCGAGACGAGUAAGCCUGUUCCACAGUUAUGGUUGUGUAUGGCGGGGCGAGCUUAUGAGUACCGUUCAUUCCGUUAAUAGCAUCCCUCAUGGAUUUCUCGUCUUUGAAAGUAACAAAUCCAUAUGCCAUUGAAUGAUCUUCAUCAUACUCAGAUGGAUAAACGACCUAUGAAACAAUGACUAACAUAAUUCAGAAUAAUUGUUAACAAAAAAAAAUCAAUACGUCGCCUAACUGGAUUUAUUAAUGAAAAAAAAAUGAAAAAACCAACAUAAGUUCCUAUAACGUCGCCAAACCGAGAAAACACAUUCUCAAGAUCAUCUUCUUCCGUGUCCACGUCUAAAUUGCGAACAUAGCACUUGUAUUCAACAUCUUCGGACGCCAUUUUUGAAAGAUGCAGAUUGAUGAGGACAAUUUAUAUAAAAGAUUAUUUAUGUGGUUAUAAAUGCUAUCGAAUCUAAAACUUUUAGAAACAAGCGUCUUUUUUCUUUCCUUGAAACUAGUUUUCCCUAGUUCCCAAACUUUCUAGAUAUUUUAUCUAAAUCUCAGUGUUUUUUUUUCCGGUACAACUAAAAUGUGAAAACCAUUACUAGUAAAUUGAUUUUAUUGGAAAGUAGGAGUAUUUGUUUCCAAUAAAAUUCAAUUUGUUUUCUUGCUUAAGCUGUCAGUUUCAGUUUAUACUAUUUUUUACCUACCACAACAAUUCAAUAAUAUCACUCAAUUUGCUUAUGAAAUGCACUAUUGAUAUGAUGAUGAAUACAAAAUUCUAACGAAACUCUUGUUGAAAUGCAUCUUUACAUUAUAAAGGUGCACUAAGCUACUAACGAAACUCUUGUCUCACUAUUGUUACUUUUUUCUGUUAAUUUGCAUUUGGAUAUAUAAUUCCUCUGGACAUCUGCAAGUGAGCACAGUUAGAUAAACACAAAACGCUAAUGUGCUUCUACUAUAUUUAAAUCUUGGUUUAGAGAUGAGUAGUUACUUUGGGAGCGAAACAAACCGGUUUAGUUAUAACCUGUGGUUGUGACUAGGCCUGAAUUUUUCGGGAAUUAGAACGGGAAUUGACAGGUAAAGGAUGGGAAUUGAAAUUUCGGGAAUCUAAAUAUAUUACCCAAAAUAUUCCCACAAAAUAACGAGAGGGAAAUUUACGGGUAUGGGAUGGAAAUGGGAAAUUCGAAAAUCAAAACAUACUAUCCAUACAAUCCCAAAAUAAAAUAUAAUCAGGAAAAGAACAGGAAAGGAACAGGAAAGGGACGGGAAAAAUUUCGGAUAAUUCGGAUAAUUAAACUAAAAUCAAUUUUGUUUUUUUUUUUUAAAUUAUUAUUUGUUAAUAAAUUGGAAAAAUCAUUAUUUAUUAUAAAAAAAAUUUCAGUUAACCAAAAUCUCUAAAAUUUCACUUUAUAUAAUUACCCAACGGGAAGUUCGGGUAAUCCCAUUCCCGUCCCUACCCUUUUCCUUACCCAUUCAAAUAUUAUUUUCAAACCCAAAUGGGAAAUUACAAUUUCCCUUUUUCGAAAAGUUUGGGAAUUUCGGGACGGAUACGUUUCGGGACGGGUUACCCUUCCCGAAAAAUUCAGGCUUAGUUGUGACCUUGUGCGUAAUAUAGAUACUCACUUUUUACAGUAUCAAAUUAACAAAAAUUAUACUAAAAGCCUAGUUUGCAACUAAUAUCGACUUUGGCUCAAGAACAGGAUUUAAUAAAACUCUCUUUUAUUAAAUUUUAGGAAACUCUCUCAAAACCUAAAGAUCCAAAACACAAAACUCAUAAGUUAUGCCACACAUUGGCAUCUCCUUAUAUAGAUGUUUAGCUACUCCUAAACUUAAUGGAAUUAGAUAACUCCUAAUUUCCUUUUUCCUAACCUUAACACUUUUAGGAAACAUUACUUAAAGAUAAUCUAGAACAAUCUAGAAGCUUGCUCUUCAAGCUUCUCUCAAGCUUACUCCAACAAUCUCCCUCUUAAGCUUGAAGUCUUCUUUGAUCAUCUCUUUAACUCCAGUGAAGUUUCUCAUUUCUUUAAACUUGAUCCUUCCAAGUGCUUUAGUCAGAAUAUCAGCUUUCUGUUCUGUUUCCGGAACAUGCUCAACCAAUAUUUGCUCAUUCUCGACACACUCUCUAAUGAAAUGAUAUCUUUUGUGUAUGUGUUUACUUCUGCCAUGAAACAUUGGAUUCUUUGUCAAUGCAAUUGCAGACCUGUUGUCAAUUCGAACCAAAGCUCUUUCACAUCCUGAUCCAAUGACUUCACCGAGUAACUCCUGCAGCCAAAUCGCUUGUUUUGCAGCUUCUGUAGCUGCCAUAAACUCAGCUUCACAAGAAGAUAAUGCCACUAUCUCUUGCUUUUGAGAACACCAGGUUAUUGGACAUUCAUUGAGAUAAAAGAUAUGACCAGAAGUACUCUUGCCAUCAUCCAAAUCAACAUUGUGACUACUGUCACUGUAUCCGAUCAAACCAGAUAAACUGCUUUUCGAAAACUUCAAUCCAUAACUCAAAGUUCCUCGAAGAUACCUUAGUACUUGUUUGAGUGCUAUUCCAUGAGAUUCUUUAGGCUCCUGCAUGUAUCGACUUAGCACUCCAACAGCAUAAGAAAGAUCAGGUCGCGUAUGAAGCAAGUAUCGAAGACAGCCUAUAUUUCUCCUAUACUUCUUCUCAUCGAUUGCUCGUUCUUCUUGUGCUUUGCAUAGCUUUAAACCAGAGUCCAUUGGAACGUGUACAGCAUUACAUUCAUCCAAGCCAUUCUCUUCGAGAAUUCUUCUUGCAUAUCUCUCUUGAUUUAAUGUGAUGCAUCCUCUUUGUUGUCCUACUUCGAUCCCAAGAUAGUAGGUUAACCUUCCAAGGUCACUCAUCUCAAAUCGUUCUGCCAUGCGCCUUUUAAACUCAAGUAUCAGCUCCAAGCUUGAACCUGUGACUAGUAAAUCGUCCACAUAUACCGCCACAAGCAAAAGAAACCCCUUUUCUUCUCUUCGGUACAGUGAAGGUUCCUUUGAACACUUGCUAAACUUCAAUUCAACAAGAAUUUGAUUUAACUUGUUGUUCCAAGCCCUUGGUGCCUGUUUCAGUCCAUAAAGAGCCUUGUGUAGUUUAUACACCUUAUCUUCACUUCCUUUGAUUUCAAAUCCCUCAGGUUGAUGAACAUACACUUCUUCUUUCAGCUCGCCAUGUAAGAAGGCUGUUUUUACAUCAAGAUGAUGUACUUCCCAUUCACUUGAAGCGGCUAGAGCAAUAAUAAAUCGAAUGGUUUCUAUGCGUGCCACUGGAGCAAAUACUUCGUCGAAAUCAAUACCAUAUCUCUGCACAUAACCCUUUGCCACAAGUCUUGAUUUGUAUUUGUUUAUGCUUCCAUCAGAGUUAUGUUUGAUUUUAAAUACCCAUUUAAGUCCAAUGGCUUUUGCUCCUUUAGGAAGAUUGACCAAAGUCCAAGUCUUGUUCUUGUUGAUCGAUGCAAUCUCUUCUUCACAUGCGUUUCUCCAUACUUUUAGGGAUUUCGCUUCAUUAAAAUCCCAUGGUUCUUCAUUCAUGGCUAACAAUAGGCGUUCACUCUCUAAUUCUGCAAUCAUUACAAAAUCAUCGAAGUGACCUGGUUGCUUGCGAAGUCGUGUUGAUCUUCUAAGUGCCGGUUGGUCUUGCACUUGUUCUUCUGUAGUAUUGUCUUCGGUUUCAAGGUUAAUACCAUCGGAAGCAUUGUUGUCUUCGACAUUAUCUCCAUCAUUCGUGUACUGUUCACUUUCGUCCUCUGUUUCCUCUGUUUCAUUUGUUCCAUUGUUUUGCUUUCCUCCUAAGACGAGAGUGAAUGUUCUGAUGCCACUGUUUAACUCGUUUACUGUGUUAUUCCACUUCCAGCUCUUUGUUUCGUCAAAGAUCACGUCGCGACUAACAAUAAUUCUUCUACUCUUUGGUUCCAAUAAUCGGUAGGCCUUUGAUCCUGGUUCAGUUCCCAGAUGGAUGAGAAUCUGUGAUCUAUCAUCGAGUUUUUUCAAAUGUGGAGAUGUGAUUUUUGCAUAUCCAAUACACCCGAAAACUCGCAGAUGCUCAAUGUUCGGUUUUCUUCUCUUGAAUGCUUCAUAUGGGGUUUGCUUCUCCAAACUCUUUGUAGCCACUCGAUUGAUAAGAUAUGUUGCAUGUCUCACAGCCUCCCCCCAAAGGUAGUUAGGAAUAUUCAUAUGUUUCAUGAUACUCCUAGUCAUCUCCAUAAGAGUUCUGUUCCUUUUUUCUACUACUCCAUUUUGUUGAGGAGAGUAGGGAGCGGUCAAGUGUCUUUUGAUGCCUGCAUUAUCACAAAACUCCUGGAAUUCUUGAGACACGAACUCACCUCCUCUGUCCGUUCUCAAGGUUUUAAUUAGUCGACCAGUUUCUUGCUCAACAACUGCUUUAAACCCUUUGAAUCGGCUGAAAGCUUCACUCUUUUCUUUGAGAAGAAGAGACCACAUAUACCUAGAAUAGUCAUCAAUUAACACGAAAACAUAUCGGUUUUGUGCUGCUGUUGCAGGUGCAAUCGGUCCACAAAGGUCACCAUGAACGAGUUCAAGUGGUUCUGAUGCUCGAUAUGUUGUUGAUUGUGGGAAAGGCUUUCUCAUCUGCUUUCCGAGCAUACAUGCGGAGCAGGUAUCCUUUUCUACAAAAAAGUUUGGUAUUCCUUUGACAAGAUCCUUCUUGAUCAUUGUCUUCAUGGUCUCUAUACCAACAUGUCCUAGCCUCGCAUGCCAUUUAACAGAAUCACUUAUAGCCAUGAUUUGCAGACACUUCGCUUUCUCCACCUCCAUGUGAACUUUGUAGAGUCUAUUCCUUGAUCUGUUCGCUUUGACUAGAAGUUUUCCAUCGCUGCCAUAUAACAUGAGAUGGUUCUUUCUCAUACGAAUAUCGCACCCUGAUUCCGUAGCCUGUCCUAAACUGAUAAUAACUGAUAAUGUUGCUUCGAAGGUCAGGUAUAAAAUAGACAUCUGCUAAGAUUUUACGUUCACCAUCCUUGCUUACGAAUAGUGUAGACCCUUUGCCUUUUAUGUCGAUGCGAGAAUCAUCCCCAAAUCGCAAUUUUCCUGUAAUAUUCUCAUCGAUCUUUGUGAAGAAGCUUCGAUUUCCUGUCAUGUGGUUACUAGCACCAUUGUCUAGAUACCACACAUCGUCUUCAGCCGGAGAUGACUCAAAGUUAUUUGGUUUGACGUUUCUCUCGUUGAGAAACACAACCUCGUGCAUCAUUAGUUUUUCUCCUUCAUGUGUUUCUUCUUCAUUGUCAUUAUCUUCUCUGGUUUCUUGCAGUUUUAACAGUCUAUCAGGGCAGUGUGACGCGUAGUGACCUGUUUGAUCACACCGAUAACAGGUGACUUUGGACAUAUCUCUUGCCUCGUUGGUCCUACCACGUCCUCUUCCUCUGCUGUAAAACCGUCCUCCACGACCUCUGCCUCUGUUUUCACCGGUGUAGCCUCGGUUUGAUUGACUUUCGCUAUUCGCAUACAUUAAUUUGUUCGAAUCUUCUUGGGUUUCCUCGUCUUCUCCUUGGAUACGUUCCUCGUACGCUUUUAAACGCCUUGUGAUAUCUUCGAAGGUAGUAUUGUUGAGAUCCAAUACUUGUUCGAGAGAUGCCACAAUGUGUAUGUAUCGUUUCCUUGGAAGACUCUUCAGAAACUUUCGAACAAGCUUUGAUUCCUCGAUAUUAGUUCCCAAAGCCGCAGAUUUUGAGCAGAUCUCCGAUAGUUUUCCGCUGAAGUCAUCAAUUGUUUCUGUAUCCUUCAUCUUUAGUUUGUCAAACUCAGCCAUUGACAUCUGCAAUCGAGCUUCCCGGACUCUCUCGGCUCCUACGUUUUUGGCUUUGAUCGCAUCCCACACCUUCUUUGCUGUUGCUAAUUCUCCGAUUUGUAGUAUAGCUGUUUCGGGCAUGGACUGAAAGAUUAAGGCCAUCGCUACAUCGUUUUUCUCGGCAUCGGUCAGACUCUGUUUCUACGACUUCCCAUACUUUAUGAACUCUGAGUAAUAUCCGCAUUCUCAUCGCCCAUACGGUAUAAUUGGUCGAGUUCAGCAUCGGACAUUGGAUGGUGGACGUACUCAGCUCUUUAGGUCGCGUGACAGGAACAAUAUCUCCCAUAGCUUCGGUUUUAAUGAUCUUCGUAUUUGACUUGUUCGGAUCGAUAGAUUAGAGGCUCUGAUACCAAAUAAUAUCGACUUUGGCUCAAGAACAGGAUUUAAUAAAACUCUCUUUUAUUAAAUUUUAGGAAACUCUCUCAAAACCUAAAGAUCCAAAACACAAAACUCAUAAGUUAUGCCACACAUUGGCAUCUCCUUAUAUAGAUGUUUAGUUACUCCUAAAUUUAAUAGAAUUAGAUAACUCCUAAUUUCCUUUUUCUUAACCUUAACACUUUUAGGAAACAUUACUUAAAGAUAAUCUAGAACAAUCUAGAAGCUUGCUCUUCAAGCUUCUAGAAAGCUUACUCCAACAGCAACAUGUACGUCACGUUGAGAGACGUUUGACUCAAUUCAUAGCUUUCUCGAUUGCUGUGAACUUCUUAAUGUUAACUUGUGAACCAGAAUCAGCUGAAGAGGUCGGUAAUUGAACGUAAACCAAUAUUUAUAUCAUGAACCGGUAAUUGUUAAUAUUGAAGUUCGAAUCGGUCUAAAGUUUUACUAGAGGGGAUUAGGAAAAACGGUCUAUUCCCCCAUGAAUUUUAUGUUUUCUAAAAAUCAAUACACUAACUAUUGAACUAUAUUUAUAACUAUAUGAAAUAUUAAAAUGCGGCCAAUUUCAUCAAAACCGUAAACAAUAUUAAUUUUCUGUCUACAAUUAAUGACGUAGCAGACACGUGGCAUACCAGUUUAAUAUAUAAUUUGAUCAAUUUUUUUUUUAAGUGCGUCGUUUUGAUAUUUCUUAAAAAAUGCAUUUCUUAAGAAUCUAACACACAAGUAAGGGUUUAGUGAGGGCUAGGGAUCGUUGAGUCAAUUUAUCAGUGAACAAUGCGACUUAAUAUAUGAUUGUGUGUAGAGAACAAUGCGACUUAUGAAGUUAUCAAUGAGGGCUAGGGAUCGUUGAGUCAAUUUAUAGAAAAUGUGUGAGGUUGAUUAUUUAUGCAUAUGGUCAAUGCAACACGUCGAAUCUAUUAAAUUUUGAUACAAGUUUUUGUUUUUUUUUGGGGAACUACUUUCCUAACUUUAGACAAUAUUUGAUCUUUAGAAUAGUUUCAAGAAAAAUUCAUACGCAAAUUUCAAAGUGAAUUUCGUUUACCAAUUGUUUUGUUUUUUAUCGUUGUUUUUUUUUUUGGUAAAAGGGUGGAAAAAUUGCAAGAAACAAAUUAUCUUGGCAACAAAACAAAAUGAUGAACAUUUUUUUUAACGAAGUUUCUGAAUCCUCCCUUAGUUUAUGAAAUACACAAGAAAGCAUUUUAUUUUUUCUUUUUCAAAAAAUCAAAGGAAACUCGCUUUUACGUUAAUUUCAAAGUGAAUUUCGUUUACCAACUGUAUUUUUUUGGCUAAUAUCGUUGUGUUUUUUUGGUAAAAAGGUGGAAAAAUUACAAGAAACAAAUGAUUUUGGAAACAAAAAUGAUGAACAUUUUUUCUUAACGAAGUUUCUGACCCUUAGUUUAUAAAAUACACACGAGAGCACUUCUAUUCUAUUAAAACAGAAGCACAUUUAGUGCUUGCAUCCAAACACUCUCAAAGUUUUUUUAUAAUAUUUUACAUUAUUUUUAUAUUUAAUUACCAAAAACUAGUUAAUAAUUUAGAUAUUUUUAGAUUUUCCAAAAUCUAAGUCAUCUUUAAUUUAAAUUUCAAAUUAUUAGAAAUUUAAUUAAAUUUAGUUACAAAAAUUUGCAUUAAAUUUAAUUUAAAUUCAAAAAAUUCAAAAAAAUAUAAUUAAAUUUUAUUACGAAAAUUUAGAUAUACUUUAGAAUUUCUUAAAUACAGGAAAGGUUAAAUUUAAAAUUUUAAAUUUAAAUAAUAUAUUUAUAAAAAUGCAUAGUAAAUAAAUAUUUUAUCGUAUUUUAUCAUAAACAAUCGGUCUAAAAUAUCAAAUAUUUGAGAUUAAUAAAUAUUUAUAUUAUACAAUAAUAUGAUCGAGCUGAUUAGAGUUAUAUAUAUAUAUAAGGUCUAUAUGUUAAUUUAUUAAAACAUGUAAGAUAUUAAGAUGAUUUGAGACAAUUAAACUAACAGGUUAGCACGUUUAUAUAUAUUUUUUUAAAUAGCACAAAUAGUAAAUAAAUAUCUUAUUAUAUUUUUUCAUAAUCAAUUGGUCCAAAUAUUCCAUAUUAGUGAAUAUUUAUAGGAUUAUACAAUUAUAAUUAUAGUCUUAUACAAGUUAGUUUGUCAAAACAUAUAAAAUAUUAAAAAUGAUUUAAGAUAACUAAACGGAUGAAUUAGCAAAUUCAUAGAUAUAUAGAUUGUUUAUGUGUAAAUCUAAAUUCACAUAAUAACAAAGUUUAUAAUUAUGUAUUCUACUAAUAUACAAAUUUUACUGUUUAAAAUUAAAAUAUGAUAAGAAUUUUUUUAUUUAAAAAAAUAAAUAAUAAAAAUAAGUUAUAUCUAAACAAAAAAGAUAAAUACAACUUAUAUUAGAAAUAAAAAAUAAAAAAUUCCCGACGAAUGCACGGGAUUAAAAUCUAGUUUUUUAAUUAAAAAAUCAAAGUAGGCUCGCUUUUCCGUUAAUUCUCUGCUAACUGACUUUACACGGCGGCGAUGGCCGUUACCUCUGAAACUCCCGACGGCUCUAACGGCGGCGAUCCAAACAAGAAACCAGAAGACGUCGAGAAAGAAGAGGAAGAAGAAGAGAAUCAAAAGGAGAAACCUGAAGACGAAGAAGAAGAAGAAAUACAGUAUCGCUCGAUUUCUUUCCCAAAUCUUCCACACGAUCUCACCGAACUUUGCGUCGCACUCCUCCGGAGAUGCAAUUACCCGAGCCUAUCCCUCAUCUCCAAGGGCUUUCGCACUCUUGCCGCUUCGCCGAGACUCUACGACGCUCGCUCGCGACUCGGCGUCACCGAAUGCGUUCUUUACGCCUCCAUCGGAUUCCCUACUUCCUCAAGCCCGAGCUGGUACAUUCUCCGCCGUGACGAGAUCUCCUUGCGACUGUGCAGAAUCGACAAACUCCCGAUUCAUUGGGGAUCUGCCGUCGUCACAAUCGGACCGACGAUGUACGUAAUCGGAGGAAGAUCCGACGGGAAACCCACAUCGGAUGUGACUCUAAUCGAUUGCAGAUUCCACACAUGAAAAACAAAUGAUCCCUCGUUUCAAUUGGUUCACUGCAGAAGACACAACUGGUGGUUGCAUUCUGGUUCCAGUUUUUGAUUCUGUCCCCUGUGGCUAAUCUGUUCUUGAUCGCUAGCCAGAGCAUAAAUGAGUACUUGGGAGUAGCGUGGGGAAACCAAACUCCUCUGCACCAAGGCACGAUCUGUCUCCCUGUUUUUUUGGCUUCAAACCUCGGUUUAUACUGUCCAUUUUUACCCUUCCACUGUGUCUCGUCUCGAUCCUUGGGUGAUUUUUCUCAAUCUCAACUGCUCUAUCUCUGUUUCGAUCUCGUUAAGUAGGCCCUGGCGGUGUCUCCGCCUUCUUGGUCUGUCAAGAACCUCAGCCAUCGUCGCAUGUUUUGAAAAUCCCAGGUCAAUGAUGCCUCGUUCCCCAACUAGCUCCAGCAGACAUCCUUUACUGCUCCAUGAGUCAUACCAGAAAGACGUAUGUGUUCCAUUUUUUACCUCCACUCGGUAGAAGUUUUUUGCGAGGGUUCUGUACUUAAGAAGCUUCUUCCACAUCCAGGAGCCCAUUGAUGUUGUAUCUUUUAUUGCCCAGAAAGACCCUUCCCGUAUAAGCUGCGCCUGAAUCCACUGUACCCAUAAAGAGCUCGGGGAUGACAUAAUCCUCCAAAUAAGCUUUAGACAGCAAACUUUAUUUGCAACCUCAAUCGAGAUCUCAAGCAGGAUCCUUUUUCCCAGGGAAGGUGUUUGGGCACGAAGGAACGAUGGUGAAGAAUUGAAGAGUUUGUGGAAAGCAUCGUCUUGUGUGGUUGAUGAUAAGCUGUAUUCGAUCGAUCCUUUGUGUAGUCUUGGACAUCCAGUAGUCGUGUAUGAUCCAACGGAGAGGACUUGGAGAUCUGUGAGAGGUGUCUAUGGUUUUCCUACUAAUAUCUCUGAUUAUGACUCUAAAAUGGCAAAUCUUGGUGGGAAGCUGGUGGUUUUGGCUGGUAAGAGCCCGUUGUUUAGGUCUGAUCAUCACGGGGAAGAAGAGAUUUGGUGCUUAGAGAUCCAUUUGGAAAGACGUCAAGAUGGUGAGAUUUGGGGGAAUGUCGAAUCAAUCAAGCGUGUGCUUACAUCAAUCGAGUCGCCUUACAUUGAGCAUUGUCGAACUUUUACCCUUUGAUGAUGCUUGGGAUUGGUGUUCUUGCAGGUAUGUAUGUUUAUGUGAUAAAGUUAUGGCAUUUUCGUUACCCUCUCAAAGGCUUUACUUAUAGGACAUUCAUGAACUUGCAGGUGAAUCAAAGUGACUCAGAAGCUGUAUCUGACACCUCAAGAGUAACUCUUACUUCUUUACCUCUCUGCACAGUGUAUAUACUCUUUACAGAAUUAGCCUUGAGUAGAUUUCUUAAGCUGUAAAGAAGAUAGGUUUAUUCUUUUAGCUGCCUUUAUACAAAAAUUCUUACGAAAUUUGUUGUUGAAUUGCAUCUCUGCACAGUGUAGAUACUCUUACAGAAUUAGCCUUGAGUAGAUUUCUUGAGCUGUACAGAAGGUAGGCUAUUCUUGUAGCUGCCUUUAUAGAAAAAUUCUUACGAAAUUGUUGAAAUGCAUCUUUAGUUAGCUAUGUCUUUAGUUAGCUAUCAUUUUGCUAUCUUUUUUUUUUGUAUGUUCUGCAAGUCAUAUUCAAGAUAUAGCAGAAAUCAAACCUGCUUCUACUAGAAGAGCAAUGUGAAAUCGUGGUUGAGAUAAGAAGCAUAACAAAUUAAUUUAGUUAACCGGUGGUUUUGACUUUAUGGGUAACUACAAUAUCAAAUUGAGGAAAUACAAAGACCUGAAGCGUACAUAGAAUGUUCAAUGUGGAGAGAAUAUUACCUUUAUAGGUACCAAAACCCAAUUUACUUAUACCAUUUGAGAAAUAUGAAAUUCUGGUUUAGAGAUGAAGCAAAACGAACGGUUUAGCUAUACAUUAUAGAUAACUACAAGUCUAAAAUAGAAAAUAUCAAGUUGACAAUAUACAAAGACUAGUCAAAACACAACCAUCCAAAACUUUGAAUUUAACAUUUGUUGACACCAUUCGAAGGAAAGAUACAGGACAAAUUAGGGUUUCUAAAUAGAAAACAGAGAGAUUUGUGACUUGUGAGUAACGUUAAGAGACGUUUGGUUGCUAGAGUUAUAGAUUUCCUGUUCUUCUGAGUUUAACAAGACCCAUUGUGCUUCUACUAUAUAUGAAAUCUUGGUUCAGUUAUGUGAAGAUGUUACGUGAGCAAAACAAACUAAGUUGCAACUCAAAAUGUAUUUAACUGUAUGCUGAUUUUACAAGAAAAGUUUCAAAUAAUACUUUUGCCAAGAAAUGAAGAAAUGCCACUUUUUUUUGUUAUGAUAAGAAAAUGGAAACAAGUAAAAUUGCUUAUAUAUCGUGGUAUAUUUUUUCUUGUUAUAGUUUUGAUUUGCUUAAUUUUGGUUGCAAAUUGAAGAAUUUUAAUUGUAAUAGUAAUCUUUUUACAAAGGAAGAAACCACAAUUUAGAAUUAAGUUAGAUUUUUUGUCACGUGAGUGUCCAAUCAGGUUUUUAAAACUACUAUUUUAUCUCUCGGUUUAUGCAAAAUGACUAUUUGAAGUUUUAUUUGGUAAAUUAGGUCUAUUUUUUGCCGCCAUCUUUAUUUUUUUUUCCGUCAUCUUUUAGUCGAUAAUUAAAAACAAAACAGAGCAAUUAAUGACUGAAGAGUAUAUCUAUCUACUAAUCAGUCAUCAGUAAGUAGUAGACACAAGACAAGAAAAUCGAAUUAGGCCAUCAUAAUCUCUGAAACUUCCGACGACUGAUGGCGAUGGUUGUAAUCUCCGAGAUUACCGACGAUUCUAACGGCGGCGAUCCAAAAUACAAUAUAAGUUAUGAGAAGACAAGCUUAAAAAAUAGCCAUCAAUGAGGUCUGGUAGUAAGUUUAUUAGACCUAUUAUUAUGUCAGUCAAAAGUGCUAAACAAUUUUUUAUAACUCUAACGAAAUACCGUUCCUUCGUAUAUGAGAAGACAAGCUUAAAAAAUACCCACCAAUGAAGUCUGCUACUAAGUCUGUUAUACCUGUUAUUAUAUCAGUCAAAAGUAUUAAAAAAUUGUUUAGAGGUCUAAUGAAAUAUAUUCUAAGUAACAAAACAUCGCCAAUAAAGGGUUUGGUAUCAAUGUUAUACAUGUUAUACAUGUUAUUAAUCUGUUUAGCAUACUAAAUUUUUGAUUAGAUUGGUUAAUAUCUAUUAGGGCCCUAACUCUGACUUUUUAGAGGAUAAUAAUAAAAAUACACCAGUACAAAGUAAUUGGUAACAGUUUGGAGACCCAUAAAAGACAACAAUUUGCCACAACAAAGAUAGAGUAGAGUGUCUUGCAAUACCAAGUAACAUGAAAAAAAGGGUUAUCGGACGAGCACAUGAAAUCCUCAGAGUGGUUCAGCGAAUUCGUCAAAGAAUUUCAUAGCCAAUACUUGACUCGCGUUGACAAGUUCUUCUGGUGUCAUCGACUUGCAUCUCUCCACACCCCCAAUACAAUGCAUCAUUGCCAAAAGCACAGCGGAUACUCCAGAAUCAGUACAUAUGGGUUAUGUGGAAUCCUUUUGGCUCUUUGUAUCGAGAACACCUUAUACUCGAUUGGACGUUUGUAACCCGUUAACUUUUUCAAGAUGAACGACAACAUCUGAGCUAGAGGUGUAAACUCUUUUUUUGUGGCCGCCUCUGUCACAAGUUCGGCUUGAGUCAUCCCACCCUUGAACAUCUCCUUCCUGAAUUGAAAACCUUCACCAAUAAGUUGAACCACAUAAUCCACUUUGGGAUCGUCGGGAGUAAUACUGAAAACAUCAACCUGUAAAUAUAUUACACGGUUAACAUAAUGCUUAGAUAAGGGAGUCGUACAAAACAGAUAACCGAACUGUUAGAUGGCAGUAAAAAUUGUUAGCGGUUACAUAUGCGAGUCGUUUAAACAGCUAACAGAAUUGUUACAUGGCAAUAAAGUUGUUAGCUGUUACAUAUGACAUUCCUUUUAAACAGAUAACGGGAAUGUUAGAUGGGUAUCAAAGUUGUUAGCUGUUACAUGUGCAUCAACUUUAAAACAUAUAACGGGAUUGUUAGAUGGGUAUCAAAUUUGUUAGCAUUUAAAUGUGCCACCCCUUUAAACAGGUAACAGAAUUGUUAGAUGGGAAUCAAAGUUGUUAGUUGUUACUUACUUUACAUUCUUCAUCUACUUCCCUCGCAUGGCCGGGACUGAGCCCAAGUUUCGAAACCUCCGAUCUGGGGUUUGUCUUAGAUGUAAUCUGAUCUGGGUCAAUCGUUGUGUCCUGAUCUAACAAGCCCUUACCACCUCCUCCCGAUUGAACGGCAUCGUCAAUGUCAACAUCUUCGUCUUCACCACCUUCAGAAUCAAAAGAAUCAGAAGAUUCAUUCACUUGAACAACCUCCGUAAGCGCCGGAAUGGCCUCCACCAGAAUUAACUGAAUAUCAUGAAAAAAAUCUUUUACUGCGACGGUGCUUUGUGCAAGGGCAACCUCAUAUUUGGUUUUUAUGUUAGCGAUUAGCAUCUCGAAUCCAAGUCUACCCCAUGGAUAUGCGAAGAAAUCUUCCAAAUCUCUGAUUAACUCGACAUGGUCAUACACGAUUUUCGACCGGUGGUUGGUAGGGCAGAGAACAGCGCCGGUAAUAGCAGGGCAAGUGUACUUCAAACGAGUAGUCCAGUCGACAACGGUUUUCUUCUUAAGCAUCUUGGUUGCCAAAUCAACUUUGAGAAGUCUGGUGAUUAUGUUAUGCCCGAAACUCCCAGUAACCGUCGCCAGUGGCGAUGAGUUUCCCGAAAGGCGAUUUUCGUAAGUAGUUUCUCUCCUCCUCGUCAAGAGCAUCGAGAAUGUUACUGAUGGUAUUCGCUUUAUGAUAGGAGUUCACCCUCUCGCCGGUGGGUUCGUCGCCGGCGGCAAAAUUUCUGGUCGGGAGUUCUUGAAGCGCCAUUAGUGACCAGAUGCAAGUGGGGAAAAAACGUCUCUGCAUUAGGAAGUUCCAGAGAUGAAUUGUUGUAAAUAUCUUCAAUUUGAAAUACUCUUUUCAAAUUUUUAAGUAGCAUUAUUACACUAAAGUCCUAGGGGUUCUUUUACCUGUAGCCUAUAACCGUUAGAGUUAUAGGGAGUUUUUUGUAUUAAUGAAAAUAUGUAAAUAGGUGUAUAACGUAUAAUUUUAUAUGUUUGCAAAUACGAUCGUAUUCUAUGUUACAGCAUGCAAAUUCUCUAAAUUAAAUUAUAUUAUAAAUUACAUUUAUUGUCGCAAACAUUAUCAUACCGAAACUUCUUAGUUACUUAAACCAUAACUUACAUGUUAUCGUUGCAUGGCAAUUAUUGAUCUGAUGUAGAACAAAAAGCUUUUUACUUAAUCGAUAAUACUAUCGCUAUUGCAUAUGUUUUGUUUCUGAGUGCUUGUUUUCUCAAUAUUUUUUUCCCUCGGUAGCAAUCAUGGCUGCUGAAAAUAAUGAGAUGAAGAAUGAGGAAGAAGUAAGUUGGGUUUUUGUUCUCUUAAGGGAAAAAGGAUCCUCUUUCUUAAAUAUUAAGUUACCCAUAUACUUUUGAGGAUAAAUCAUGAUUGUAUGGUUUUUCUUUUUUGGUCAUCCUUAGCUCCCACCCUUUGAUCCAACCAAGAAGAAGAAAGUUGUCAUUCAGGAUCUUGUCAAGGACUCAACAGUCACAUACGGAGAAAUAUGAUUCAUUGCCUGGUAUGUUGAAGAGAGUGUUUAAAUUAGAUGUUUUGUGUCUUUCUAAAAAAAUUUUGAACUCUAUAAGCCUGUGUUUUGCUGAUUAUGUGCCUAUGUGUUUAGAUGGUAUUUUUUAAUUCCUUUUUUGUGCUAAGGAUGUGGAAGUUAGAUUACAUGAAUAGAAAUGGAAUCCUUUAUCAUUGUUCUCACCUCAUCUUCUACUCUCUCUGAAUGUGGAAGUUAUAGCUAUAUUGACUUAAAAAUGAGUAGGUAGUUGUAAAGUUUAUGCCUGAAUGAUUCUGAGAAGAACAAGAAUGGAACUGCAGAUCAUUCUAUGUGGAGAAACUAUGAUGACCUGAACAAGAACUUCUCCUCAAACCAUUCAUUGUCUAAUGUCUCUUGAGUGCAUCAAAAUUGGCUGGCCAAUGCGUCUUGACCAUGAUUUGUUCUGUAUAGAAUCGUUAGAUACCAGCAAACCACAGAGAUGGCAAGGAAUACUUAGAUUUCGCAAGCAGAAUAAGAAAACCGAGGAAGAAAUGGAGGAUGACGUAGAACUUGAGGUACAUACUCUGUUUUUGUCGUCUAUACAGCAUUGGGUCUAUACACUGUUUUUGUUACAGUGUAAGUAUAGUCUCAUUUAUACGAGAUUUUGGAUCAAAUGGACAUCUUUCACAUAAAUGGAUCAUGUGGCAUCUUCUCAUCUUUGCUUUCUUUGAUUUAUUUUUUCCCUUUAGAUUUCUAAAUUCGGAGAUAGUGUUCUUUCAUAUUCUGUUGUUGUUUAUGCGUUGUUCGUUGUUCUUAUAACUGAUCAAAGAGAUAAUAUUUUUUUGAUAAUAUUUUUUUAGCUGUCUUAUAUUUGUUCCGUGUAUACAUUGUUCCUGCUCUAGUGAGCUAUAUAUUUGUUUCCUGGUUCUCAUGUCUGUGGUUUUGUAUCUUUGCGUUUAUUUCGUUCUGUUUUUAUCUCCUUGCGAUUGUUUUGUUAUUAUAUUUGUUCAUGUGGCAUCGUCUCCCAUAUUUCCCUUCUGUUUGACGUUUAUCUCUCUCCUUCUUUUUAAAAUAUAACCUAUUUUUUGUGUAAUAUUGUCUUUUACAGUUGUGUUGUUGUGCUUUUAUGGGUCAGAUAUUUCCAGAUUCUGAUCCUAAAUGGAAAGAAGCGCAGAUCCUUCAGUUGUGAACCUAAAAGCUAAAACUCACGAGAAAGUUGAUAGCCUUGAAGAAUAACAGAAGCAUUGCAGCUCAUGAAGAAGUGAGUCAAUUUUAUCACAUUCCUUAAAUGUAUCAAUCUUCUUAAGAAAACACUUUUUAAUGUAAUCCCUUUAGACUAGGUUUAUUAAUACAUUCUUAGAAAUAGUGAAAAUCGAAUCAUGUGAUGACGAUACAUUGAAAUGGAAAAAUGAUUCUGGUUUCUGUCAGUUUUAAAUAAAACUUGAAAUUAUGACUUUUUUAGCUGUUUGGAUUGGUAACUUCUAGAAAUGGAUACCGCCAGUAACACCUGAGAUACAUUAGUUUUUUUUUUUGAAAAAAUGUUAAAUUAAAACAAAUUAUAAUUGGACACUUGAGAUCCAUUAGUUAUUACUUAUAGAAGUAUUUUAGACGAUUUAGUGAUUAUAAUUGAGUUAUCAAGGACUUCUUUUCAUACGUAAAACUGAGCUUCUUGUCAUACUUAAAACUGUAUCCUAGAAGAAUAUGAAUUUAGAGAGAAGAAAAAUGACAAAGGCAAUGAAGAAGGAAAAGAAAAAAAAAAGCAUAUAAAGAAAAAGAAAACUUGGAAGAAGAAGAAGAAGUUUGAGAAGAUGAUGAUGGAGAAGAAGAAAAAUCCAAAAAAGAAGAAAACUGAAAGAUAAAAAAGAAAAAAAGAAGAUCAAGACACAACAUAUAGAAGAAGUAGAAGUCGGUAACUUUCAUGAAGAUGAAAUAAAAAGAUGAAAAAUAAGAAAAACGAAAGAUGUAUGAGAGGAAGAAGAAAUAGAAAAAAUAGAAGUUGAAAACAAUAAGAUGGAAGAAAGAAAAGAAGUGAAAAAAAAAGAACAUGAAAAAAGAAAAACCAAUAAAAUAUGAAGUUAGAGAAGACAGAAAAUAAAGAAUGAGAAGUGAUAAAAACAAAAAAUAUAAGGAAAUAGCGAUAAAGAAUAAAAUUAAAAACACAGAAGAAAAAAUAAGAAACAAAAAAGUUAUGUUUUAGUUUAAUUAAUUUGUAGAUUUAUUCAUAUAUUUAUAUAAUACUUUUUGGCAAUUAAUUUUGGAUUGGGUUUACUUUUUGGAUUAAUUUUAUUUUGAUCUCUUAUGUAUUAAAUAGUUAUUUUAAUUUUCUUUAAUUUAUAACAUAAAUUUUUUUUUUUUUUUUUUUUUAAAACCUUUUGGCGCCUUGACUAAACACCUAGUAAUUAAUUAAGAUCGUUAUUCGUUGCAGUUCUUAUAAACAAGUUGUAAUGUUAUACGCUUGUUUCAUCUAUCACAAGACUUCGGAUUGUAACAGACGUACGUGAACUUGUAUGUGAAUGAUAUAGUUCAACCGGAGGCGAUGAUUGUAACUUUGUCAAUUAUUACUUGAUUCAAAGCACCAUUUUUAUUUAUUUAUUUGAUAAGAGACAUGUUGAUCGUAGUCAAAGCAACACCUUCCAAAUAUCAAUAUAUUAGGACACUGCAGGUUACAAAGCAAAAGACUUGAAGCUUAUUUUGUUUAUCUUCUAGUUAAACCUCUUUUGAAUGAUCAACACGUCCACGACGGCGAUGACGACGGCUUGUGCGAGUUGAGUUAGCCUCUUGCACAGUGAUGCUGCUUUCCCCGAGCUUCUGACCGUUCAUUCCGUUAAUGGCAUCCCACAUUGAUUUCUCGUCUUUGAAAGUAAGAAAUGCAUAAACCUUUAUGUUUUCAGAAUCACGUUGAUCUGUAAGGGAAAUAAGAUUGUAGAAUAUUGUGUUGUCUUCAUAAUGAUCUCGUACAAGGCAUAUAUAUAUACACAAUAUAAACCCUAGAAUAUCUUGACGGCUAAGCUAUAGACACCGACAUACUUGAAGCCCAAUAUUACCGAGCCCAAUUCCCUAAUACUCCCCCUCAAGUUGGAGUGUGGAGAUUCGAAACACCCAACUUGGACAUUAGAACUUUAAACUGAGGACGUCCUAAAGCCUUGGUAAGAACAUCAGCAAUCUGAUCUUUGGAACGAACAUGAACCGCAGUAAUAACGUCUUCAGUAACCGCAUCACGAACACAGUGACAAUCACGUUCAAUAUGUUUAGUGCGCUCAUGAAAAACUGGAUUGGCGGCAAUGUGCAUUGCUGCCUCACUAUCGCAAUAGAACGGAACAGGCUGUGUAACCGGAUUGCCAAGAUCACCCAUCAACUGAACAAUCCACUGAAUCUCCUUUGUAGCAAACGCCAUGGCCCGGUAGUCAGCUUCAGCCGUAGAAUGUGAGACAGUACUUUGUUUCUUUGUUUUCCAAGAAAUCGGACAACCGCCAAGUAGAACCACAUAUUCACUAAGGGAACGUCGUGUCAAGGGACAGGAUUGCCAAUCGGCAUCACAAUAGACAGACAACUGAAGAUUGCUAUCGGAUUUCAAGAGAAUACUUUGUCCGGGGCAGCCUUUUAAAUAUCUUACAACACGAAGUGCAGCUGUCCAAUGAGACUGAUGGGGCUCUUGCAUAAACUGUGACAACAAGUGGACAGCAUAACACAAAUCUGGUCUUGUAACAGAAAGAUAGACAAGACGACCAACUAGGCGUCGAUAACAAAAAGGAUCCGAGAGGAGAGGACUUGUAUCCGACGCAAGUUUGUGGUUUUGCUCAAUCGGUGUCAAUGCCGGCUUUGCGCCAAGGAGACCUGUGUCAGCGACAAUAUCAAGGAUACAUUUCCUUUGAGAGAGGAAAAUACCUUCGUCAGAACGUGCUACUUCAAUACCGAGGAAAUAUUUGAGCUUACCCAGAUCUUUCAUGUGGAAACAUUCGCCCAAAUAUGCCUUAAACUUUGUCAAUCUCUCCAUGUUAUUGCUUGCAAUAACCAGAUCGUCCACAUAAAUCAAAACUCGAAUUUCUGUCCCGCCCUUCUCAAAUGUGAAUAAUGAGUAAUCGGAAUAAGAUUGCUUGAAACCGAACUUUAACAGCACAGUAGACAGUUUGGCGAACCAGCAACGUGGUGCUUGACGAAGUCCAUAAAGGGAUUUCCGAAGACGCAGAACCUUAGUAGGAUCAGAGUGCGUAAAACCCGGAGGGAACUUCAUGUAAACUUCUUCUUUGAGGUCACCAUGAAGGAAAGCAUUAUGGACAUCCAUCUGAUGCACUUCCCAAUUCUUUGCGGAAACAACACCUAAAAGACUACGCACAGUCUCCAUUUUAACGACUGGAGCAAAAGUUUCGUCGAAAUCUUCCCCUUCCACCUGAAUAUUUCCCAUAACUACCAACCGAGCCUUAUGACGUUCGAUAGUUCCAUCGGCGUUAUAUUUAAUCUUAUAGACCCACUUGCAGGGAAUAGCAAUCUUUCCAGGCGGAAGUGAUUCAACAUCCCAUGUGUGAUUAUCUUCGAGAGCAACGACCUCGUCUUGCAUAGGAGCAUGCCAAACCUCAUCCUUUACUGCUUCCGUAUAGCUCUUGGGCUCAACACCUGCAGUCACUGCUGCCAAGAAUGCUUGGUGCGAUGGUGAGAACAAGAGAUCAGAGACAUAAGCAUCCAAGGGAUACGGUGUCUUACCUUGGAAAGUUUCUGAAGACGCCGGAGUGGAGCAGAGUGAGGAGAGAUGGGGGUUAAGGGCGGCGGCAUUAUACGUAACAAAGCCUUUGAGACGCGUAGAAGGAAUGCGCUCUCGAUGUCCACGACCUAAUACUUCAACCUCAGUAACUGAAUCAUGGUCAACUUGUCCUGAGGAAGUUUGGGACAGCUCCAAAACAGGGGACUCUGUUGCAACAUGGGGUAUAUCUUCAGUAUUGGGAGAUGGAGUCUCAACUAGAGAUUCCGUCGGAACAGGCAGUGAGUCAGGUGCAGUAGAGGAAAGAGGGGCAGCGGAAUCUGGUGUUGGUGAAUUCGAAGCUUCCUCCACAGCAGCUGACUCAGAACUCCCCCUGACUUCGGAAACCGGAGGCGAUGGAAUUGCCCAAUCGUCAUCACAAAACGACGAAGACGAGAGAUGCUGAGGUGCGACUACGGGUGAGACGGGAGGCAAAGACGAAAAAGGAAAUUCAUCUUCAUAGAACACAACAUCGCGAGAGAUGAUGAACUCCUUCUUGUCUAAAUCAUACACUUUCCAUCCCUUUUGUCCAAAAGGAUACCCAACAAAACGCAACGACGACUGCGGGAGCCAAACUUGUCUUUAUCCCUUGACCGUAAGUGUGUGUAACACAAACUUCCAAAUACACGGAGAUUGUCAUACGAUGGUGUUUGUCCGUAUAAAAUCUCAUAAGGUGUUUUGCCCUUAAGAAUGGCUGUUGGGGUUCGAUUAAUGAGAUGAGUUGCAGUCAUGACAGCUUCUCCCCAAAACUUGAUCGGUAAGCUACGUUGGAAAAGUAACGCGCGAGAUACGUUAAGAAUGUGUCGAUGUUUGCGUUCAACUCUUCCAUUCUAUUGAGGCGUGGCAACGCACGAGGUUUGAUGAAGAAUUCCUUGUUCACGAAAGAACCGAGAUAGACACAUAAACUCUGUGCCAUUGUCACUAUGAACUACCUUCACCGUUUUAUGAAAUUGCCUUUCUGACAUCGCACAAAAGUUCUGAAGCACCAUAUGCACUUCUGUCUUUUCGAGAAGCAAAUAAGUCCAAACUGCUCUUGAAAAAUCGUCAACAAUAGUUAAAAAAUAAACUGCUCCACUGGAGGAUCUGGUUCGGUAAGGACCCCAAACAUCACAAUAAAUUAACUGAAAACAUUCAUUUGAUUUAUUUGAACUUGCAACAAAAACUUCUCUAGUCUGCUUUGCCCGGAAACAUGUGUCACAAGGACUAGGGGGCAGCAGAUUUAUUCAACGAAAACAUAGGUAAUGACGCUAAAGCAGAAAACGACGGAUGCCCGAGCCUCUGGUGCCAACAAUUCUGAUCAGCCAAGCUAACAACCG
Molecule: long non-coding RNA, 36249 nt
Filed under: Eutrema salsugineum
Lineage: Eukaryota; Viridiplantae; Streptophyta; Magnoliopsida; Brassicales; Brassicaceae
Description: long non-coding RNA (ESAL_LNC001430)
Source: RNAcentral